GAAAGUUUGCUCUUUUAGUAUUUGUCCAGCAGGUCUUCAGAAACUAAAGGCCGAC
Molecule: small nuclear RNA, 55 nt
Filed under: Astyanax mexicanus (Mexican tetra)
Lineage: Eukaryota; Metazoa; Chordata; Actinopteri; Characiformes; Acestrorhamphidae
Description: U7 small nuclear RNA (ENSAMXG00005006197.1)
Rfam family: U7 small nuclear RNA
About the family: Animal histone pre-mRNAs are spliced by a different mechanism than nuclear pre-mRNAs and self-splicing introns. This processing involves the U7 snRNP, which contains only one RNA species: U7.
Source: RNAcentral